Aedes albopictus (Asian tiger mosquito) is the source of this 1121-nucleotide long non-coding RNA. RefSeq lists it as uncharacterized. The transcript has 3 exons. The record is from RefSeq and is a predicted model, not a curated record. Lineage: Eukaryota; Metazoa; Arthropoda; Insecta; Diptera; Culicidae.
AGCAGUUAGCCAGCGUAAUUUGGGAACGAUGGAUCAAGGAGUACGUGCCAUCGUUGAACCAGAGGACAAAGUGGUUCGGCGAAUCGAGGCCAUUGCGAGUUGGAGAGGUAGUGUACGUGGUCGAGGGUGCUAACCGGAAGUGCUGGGUCCGUGGAGUAGUUGAAGAGGUCAUCGCGUCCGGCGACGGAAGAAUCCGUCAAGCGUGGGUGCGUACCAGCACUGGAAGGUACAAGCGAGCAACAGUGAAGCUGGCCAGGAUGGAGAUAGACUGUGGUAACCCUGAGCCGGAUGAGGCCUCCGGGACAGAGUUACGGGCCGGGGAAUGUUCUGGCAGCACUGCACGAGCGCCGGUUACCACACAGCAUGAUUUGGACGAUGAGGCAGCGUGCGUAAGUGUCGGUUGACAGGUGUCAGAAUGACAGUAGCGAUGACAAGAGAAGGAGAGAGAGACGGAUAGCCGUCAAAUGUAUGCGAUGUAAAUAAAAACAAGAAAGGAAGAAAUUGAAUUAGUUUGAUACCAUUUGCAAUUGUGGAUAAUCGGUAGAAAAUAGAGGAAUAGUUCGAAAGUUUGUUCGGCGAUUAGAAAAGAAGUUAGAUUUUUGGUUGGAGUAGAAAUAGUUCCGCGAGUGACUAGUGAGCAUAUUGUCAGAUUUGGUCAGACGAUCACAAGCGAAAUUAGUAAGUAGAAGUAGAGUAGAAGUUUAUUUACAAUUAGAGCGGAAGGUGACAAACAUAUAAUCCGUAGUAUUUCCGAGCCGUGGACGAAAAUUGAGUGGUUGAGGAGCUUGAGGCCCGACGGGACGAGACAGGUUGGACAGCAAGCGGACUUGAGAAACCAGAUACAGAAUACGCACGACGAGGACGAGACUUCCAGCACAGUGGUCCAAAACCGAAUUUCUAUAGGACAAAAUUCGUUGUUGCGUUGUCUGUAAAGGAAGGUAGAAGGAAAGCCAGUGAAGGAGAAAGACAAACUAAAAUUGUAAGUGUGCUCAUUAGAAAUAAGAAAAAUGCUUAAUUGUAUGACUAUUGACGAUACAUUAAAUUCAUUACUUACAGUUUGAUCUGCCACAAUAAAAGGCCGAUUCACAAAAAUUGUUUGCGCCGAAUUUGAUCCGAACACU